CAAGUUUGUGUCUAUGGGUGUG
RNAcentral lists this microRNA (22 nucleotides) under Melibe leonina. RNAcentral's name for it is "mle-miR-100-3p". Its record names the gene mle-miR-100-3p. Lineage: Eukaryota; Metazoa; Mollusca; Gastropoda; Nudibranchia; Dendronotidae. The record is from miRBase by way of RNAcentral.